ACGUAGGGGGCGAGCGUUAUUCGGAAUUACUGGGUGUAAAGGGUAUGUAGGCGGCCCUUCAAGUCGCGUGUCAAAGUCCAGUGCUCAACGCUGGGAGUGCGCGCGAUACUGACGGACUUGAGGGCAGGAGAGGAGAGUGGAAUUCCCGGUGUAGCGGUGAAAUGCGUAGAGAUCAGGAGGAACACCAGUGGCGAAGGCGACUCACUGGACUGUAUCUGACGCUGAGGUACGAAAGCGUGGGGAGCAAACAG
This 251-nucleotide ribosomal RNA is filed under the name uncultured prokaryote. Its description in RNAcentral is "partial 16S rRNA". It matches the Rfam family "Bacterial small subunit ribosomal RNA", at positions 525 to 775 of the family's 1533-position model. The record is from RNAcentral.